AUUGAACGCUGGCGGCAGGCUUAACACAUGCAAGUCGAGCGGAGAUGAGGUGCUUGCACCUUAUCUUAGCGGCGGACGGGUGAGUAAUGCUUAGGAAUCUGCCAUUUAGUGGGGGACAACAUUCCGAAAGGAAUGCUAAUACCGCAUACGUCCUACGGGAGAAAGCAGGGGAUCUUCGGACCUUGCGCUAAAUGAUGAGCCUAAGUCGGAUUAGCUAGUUGGUGGGUAAAGGCCUACCAAGGCGACGAUCCGUAACUGGUCUGAGAGGAUGAUCAGUCACACUGGAACUGAGACACGGUCCAGACUCCUACGGGAGGCAGCAGUGGGGAAUAUUGGACAAUGGGCGAAAGCCUGAUCCAGCCAUGCCGCGUGUGUGAAGAAGGUCUUCGGAUUGUAAAGCACUUUAAGUUGGGAGGAAGGGCAGUAACCUAAUACGUUAUUGUUUUGACGUUACCGACAGAAUAAGCACCGGCUAACUUCGUGCCAGCAGCCG
Molecule: ribosomal RNA, 493 nt
Filed under: uncultured bacterium
Lineage: Bacteria
Description: bacterial SSU rRNA
Rfam family: Bacterial small subunit ribosomal RNA
Source: RNAcentral